UCAGGAUGAACGCUAGCGACAGGCCUAACACAUGCAAGUCGAGGGGUAACAGGGAGCUUGCUCCGCUGACGACCGGCGCACGGGUGAGUAACGCGUAUGCAACCUUCCCACAGGAUCGGGAUAGCCCUCCGAAAGGAGGAUUAACACCGGAUGUGGUAAUUAAGAGGCAUCUUUUAAUUACUAAAUGCGAAGCAUGUGGAUGGGCAUGCGUGACAUUAGCUAGUUGGCGGGGUAACGGCCCACCAAGGCGACGAUGUCUAGGGGUUCUGAGAGGAAGGUCCCCCACACUGGUACUGAGACACGGACCAGACUCCUACGGGAGGCAGCAGUGAGGAAUAUUGGUCAAUGGGCGGAAGCCUGAACCAGCCAAGUAGCGUGAAGGAUUACUGCCCUACGGGUUUUAAACUUCUUUUAUGCGAGAGUAAUGUGCGCCACGUGUGGCGUAUUGCAAGUAUCGCAUGAAUAAGCAUCGGCUAACUCCGUGCCAGCAGCCGCGGUAAUACGGAGGAUGCGAGUGUUAUCCGGAUUUAUUGGGUUUAAAGGGAGCGUAGGCGGGUCAUUAAGUCAGUCGUCAAAGCCUGUGGCUCAACCACAGCCCGCGAUUGAUACUGGUGACCUUGAGUGCGGAUGAGGUGGAUGGAAUUCGUGGUGUAGCGGUGAAAUGCUUAGAUAUCACGAAGAACUCCGAUUGCGAAGGCAGUCCACUGGGCCGCAACUGACGCUGAAGCUCGAAAGUGCGGGUAUCAAACAGGAUUAGAUACCCUGGUAGUCCGCACCGUAAACGAUGGAUACUCGCUGUCGGCGAUACACAGUCGGCGGCCAAGCGAAAGCAUUAAGUAUCCCACCUGGGGAGUACGCCGGCAACGGUGAAACUCAAAGGAAUUGACGGGGGCCCGCACAAGCGGAGGAACAUGUGGUUUAAUUCGAUGAUACGCGAGGAACCUUACCCGGGCUUGAACUGCGGUGGACCGGUCCAGAGAUGGAUUUUCCCUUCGGGGCCGCCGUGGAGGUGCUGCAUGGUUGUCGUCAGCUCGUGCCGUGAGGUGUCGGCUUAAGUGCCAUAACGAGCGCAACCCUUUCCGUCAGUUGCCAUCAGGUAAUGCUGGGGACUCUGUCGGUACUGCCAUCGUAAGAUGUGAGGAAGGUGGGGAUGACGUCAAAUCAGCACGGCCCUUACGUCCGGGGCUACACACGUGUUACAAUGGGGGGUACAGAAGGCCGCUACCCGGCGACGGGGCGCCAAUCCCGAAAACCCCUCUCAGUUCGGACUGGAGUCUGCAACCCGACUCCACGAAGCUGGAUUCGCUAGUAAUCGCGCAUCAGCCAUGGCGCGGUGAAUA
Molecule: ribosomal RNA, 1340 nt
Filed under: uncultured bacterium
Lineage: Bacteria
Description: bacterial SSU rRNA
Rfam family: Bacterial small subunit ribosomal RNA
Source: RNAcentral